AGUGAACGCUGGCGGUAGGCCUAACACAUGCAAGUCGAACGGCAGCACAGUAAGAGCUUGCUCUUACGGGUGGCGAGUGGCGGACGGGUGAGGAAUACAUCGGAAUCUACUUUUUCGUGGGGGAUAACGUAGGGAAACUUACGCUAAUACCGCAUACGACCUACGGGUGAAAGCAGGGGAUCUUCGGACCUUGCGCGAUUGAAUGAGCCGAUGUCGGAUUAGCUAGUUGGCGGGGUAAAGGCCCACCAAGGCGACGAUCCGGAGCUGGUCUGAGAGGAUGAUCAGCCACACUGGAACUGAGACACGGUCCAGACUCCUACGGGAGGCAGCAGUGGGGAAUAUUGGACAAUGGGCGCAAGCCUGAUCCAGCCAUACCGCGUGGGUGAAGAAGGCCUUCGGGUUGUAAAGCCCUUUUGUUGGGAAAGAAAAGCAGCAGGUUAAUACCCCGCUGUUCUGACGGUACCCAAAGAAUAAGCACCGGCUAACUUCGUG
RNAcentral lists this ribosomal RNA (492 nucleotides) under uncultured bacterium. RNAcentral's name for it is "partial 16S ribosomal RNA". It matches the Rfam family "Bacterial small subunit ribosomal RNA", at positions 29 to 507 of the family's 1533-position model. The record is from RNAcentral.